Molecule: long non-coding RNA, 403 nt
Filed under: Ictidomys tridecemlineatus (thirteen-lined ground squirrel)
Lineage: Eukaryota; Metazoa; Chordata; Mammalia; Rodentia; Sciuridae
Description: lncRNA (ENSSTOG00000030560.1)
Source: RNAcentral
CACAUAUAUUAGGUACAUCCCUGAAUUUCCUACAAUGGAAAGAAAAGGUGCUCCUUUAAACAAUUAUAAUAACUGGAACUAGGAAGAAAAUAUCUGAACAUGGAGAGGAAAAUAUGAAAGAAAAAGACUAUGAGUCAUGUCAUGACUUCACCAUUAUAUUGAUGAUCAGCUGGCUCCUAUGCAGACUUAGCCAUACUACAGAGAGCUAUCAAGGGUUGCCUCUGGGAUCUUCAGAGACACAUCACAGAAAUUCAGCUCCUCUUUCGUCAAGAAGCUCUUUAACAGGGGAAGCAUGUUCAUCUCUACCAUGAAAUUGACACAAACCAAAGAUGUUAGCAUAAUUCAUAGGAAUGAUUCUUUUCUGAAGGACAUAUAACAAUUUAAAGGUAAGCUUUAAAAUAUU